Long non-coding RNA from Sinocyclocheilus grahami, 204 nucleotides. RefSeq lists it as uncharacterized. Lineage: Eukaryota; Metazoa; Chordata; Actinopteri; Cypriniformes; Cyprinidae. The transcript has 3 exons. The record is from RefSeq and is a predicted model, not a curated record.
AUCCAAGAGCUAUUGAUGCUCGGGGUCCGAUAUCUGGCCAGAGGGUGCCUGUGGCUGGUGGAAUGCAGGGUCCUCCCCCUCAUGGCAUAGGACAAAGUGCACCUCCAGCAGCGAGACCAGGUCCUACAUCAGAUGCGUCAUCACAAGACCACGAGAAAGCUGCCUUGAUUAUGCAGGUUCUGCAGCUGACCCCAGAACAGAUCG